RNAcentral lists this ribosomal RNA (497 nucleotides) under uncultured bacterium. RNAcentral describes it as "partial 16S ribosomal RNA". It matches the Rfam family "Bacterial small subunit ribosomal RNA", at positions 28 to 507 of the family's 1533-position model. The record is from RNAcentral.
GAUGAACGCUGGCGGCGUGCCUAAUACAUGCAAGUCGAGCGAACAGACGCGGAGCUUGCUCCUCUGACGUUAGCGUCGGACGGGGGAGUAAAACGUGGAUACCCUACCUCUUACACUGGGAUAACUUCGGGAAACCGGAGCUAAUACCGGGUAAUCUAUUUAACCGCAUGGUUCAAUAGUGAAAGACGGUUUUGCUGUCACUUAUGGAUGGAUCCGCGCCGCAUUAGCUAGUUGGUAAGGUAACGGCUUACCAAGGCAACGAUGCGUAGCCGACCUGAGAGGGGGAUCGGCACAAUUGGAACUGAGACACGGUCCAGACUCCAACGGGAGGAAGCGGUAGGGAACUUUCCGAAAUGGGCGAAGGCCUGACGGGGAAACGCGGCGUGAGGGAUGAAGGUCUUCGGAUCGUAAGACUCGGUUAUCAGGGAGGAACAAAUGUGUAAGUAACUAGGCACGUCUUGACGGUACCGAAUCAGAAAGCCACGGCUAACUACGUG